GACGAACGCUGGCGGCGUGCUUAACACAUGCAAGUCGAACGGAAAGGCCCUGCUUUUGUGGGGUGCCCGAGUGGCGAACGGGUGAGUAAUACGCGAGUAAUCUGCCCUUGACUUUGGGAUAACUUCAGGAAACUGGGGCUAAUACCGGAUAGGAGCUCUUGUUGCAUGGUGGGGGUUGGAAAGUUUCGGCGGUUGGGGAUGGACUCGCGGCUUAUCAGCUUGUCGGUGGGGUAGUGGCUUAACAAGGCUUUGACAGGUAGCCGGCCUGAGAGGGUGACCGGCCACAUUGGGACGGAGAUACGGCCCAGACUCCUACGGGAGGCAGCAGUGGGGAAGAUUGCACAAUGGGCGGAGGCCUGAUGCAGCACCGCCACGUGCGGGAUGACGGCCUUCGGGUUGUAAACCGCUUUCGCCUGUGACGAAGCGUGAGUGACGGUAAUGGGUAAAGAAGCACCGGCUAACUACGUG
Molecule: ribosomal RNA, 468 nt
Filed under: uncultured bacterium
Lineage: Bacteria
Description: partial 16S ribosomal RNA
Rfam family: Bacterial small subunit ribosomal RNA
Source: RNAcentral